AGUUAACCUCGGGAACGAUGAAGUUGAUGGCCAUUUUCUCUCAGAAAGAGAAAGAACUCAAAGAUCUUGAGCGCAGUUCUUGAAGUUCUUGAGCAGUGCCGCCACCAGAAAGGAGGAUAUGAGGCUGUAGAAUGACAGGAUGGAAGAAGAGUACCGGAGAAAGAAGUAUUUAUAGGACAAGGAGGAUAGGGGCAAAUCAGACUUAUCUCUUUGCCGCAUCCAUCAAAUUCGAGGGUG
Molecule: long non-coding RNA, 237 nt
Filed under: Sorghum bicolor (sorghum)
Lineage: Eukaryota; Viridiplantae; Streptophyta; Magnoliopsida; Poales; Poaceae
Description: long non-coding RNA (SBIC_LNC013868)
Source: RNAcentral